CGUGCUGAACUUUUCCUAUAUCUAAGCUGAAUAUAAACAUCAUAAAUAAAUUAAAGGCAGUAAGGCACAUAAUAUUAAAUUCCUUUGUCCAUUGGAUUCCUCCAUCUUCUGAGUCCCUUCGUUCUCUCCCACUUCUUCAUGCCUUUUGAAAUAAAGAAACCCUAAUGCCGCUAGACUCUCUCUCUCUCUCUCUCUCUCUCUCUCUCUCUCUCUCUCUCUCUCUCUCUAGCAUUGUUGCCACCGAAAUCAACCACCUCGUUUUUCUCAAUGCUACAACGACCCCAACCCAUCUGGCAACGAUUUCCGUAAGCAACUCAGGUUUACCCUUCCAACCCACAGGUUUCUUGAUUUGUGUUGUCCUAUUUUGGGUUUUUCUUAAUAAUAUGUUGCAACGACCCUCACCCCCGCCACUAACCAGUAACCAGCACCGCCAUAGAAAUCCCACAACUCUUCGUCGAUGUUCGAUUUCUUUGGUGAUGGAACCCAUCUCUAUAAGGUACAACUUUGGGAAAGUAAAGAUAUGUUUGUUUUUUUUUCAUGUAUUUCUGAAGAUUCAAGCUACAACUGUGGGAAAUCAACGAUAAUUAGUUUCUUUUUCCCGAUCCAAAGGCAAGAGAGAUUGACACACUAAAAAUGAACUACAAAGCUCCAUGAAGCAACUCUGGAGAAACUUGAGUUAGUGAAAACAGAAUCUGAAAGUUUAUCAUCACAGAAGGUAAUAAAAUGUGAGAAAAAUAAGAAACUAAAUGUGAUUGUGGGUUAGAAUGAAACAACUCAAAAGUGGUUAAGGUGAUGUUGUAAGCCUAAAAGGUUUUGUAUUUAUAAUUUCCUAUUCCUAAUGAAAUAUAUAAUGAAUCAGGUCCACCUCCUACCAGGAAACUUGCAACUUUGUUGUAUAGACUAAGAAGAACGCAUGUGGUUGCUAAAAUUAAGAGUUACUAGACUAAAACAACAAUGUAGUCAAAGCAGAAAUUGUAAAAAGUGUGCUUAUAUCAACCGAUCUUAUACAUAUGUUGCAUAAACUAAGGUGGCAUUUUGUUGCAUAAUUUAAUCAUAACAUUUGAUGUUUUUCUUUUCGGUUCACUAGAACAUCUUUCUAAUGGGUAUCUUUUUAUUUAUGUUAGUUUAAUUUCUCUUCGUGCCUCACAAAGCGUAAAAUGAAUGACACAUUUUUACCCUUGUAUUGUAUGUUCACAACUAUAUGCAAACUAUGCCAUUGGUAAAGAUGUCCAUGUCAUGAAAGCAGUGGUUGGAGAAGAAGCCUUCUUCUGAGGAUCCGGUCAGUUUCACUUUCUCUAUCUAAAUUACAAUCAUGGUUCUUAAUGAGAUAAAACUUGUUGGACUUGUAGUGGCGUGUGAAAAAAAUCGUAAGAAAUUAGCAUUUGAUAAAAAAGGAAAAUUCAUUAUUUGAAUUUUUUGUGUUUUUCUUUGUUUAACCUUUUAUAAACGUGGGUGAUCAGGAAAAUUCAUUAUUGGAUAUUGAUGCUACAUUAUAUAAAUCAGGUAAAUGGUAUAAUUUACAAAUUAGUAUAAGUUUUAGAUUUAUGUUUCAAUUUAUGGUCUCUAUCUUAAGCAACAUUUUCCUUACAAAGGAAAAAAGGAGUUACUUUGGAAUUCAUUUAGCGCAAUAAUAUGAUGUUAGAGUUGAUUUUUGUGCCCGUGAAACAAAUUCAGACGAAGGAAGCGAAUUGAAAACCCUAUAGCCUAGACGAUUUCAAUGCUUGAAACAAAGAAGUUUAAUUCGGGUAUUUUUGUGAUUACCUUUAAUUUCAUGUUUUAUUAUGUUUAAUUUCGUUUUUUAAUUAUCCAUGGUUAAUGUAAUUUUUUUUAACAAGAUAUGGUCGAGAUCUCAAUUUUUCUUUCUUUUCAUGUUUGUGUUAAUUUGUUACGGUUUUAUCAUAUAUUUUUGUUUAUUGUUCAAAUUAUAAAGAUAGUUUUUGUAGUUACAGGAAAAUGAAUUCUACCGGCUGCUCCCGGUUUCACAAAAAUGUUUCCAUUUGUUGUUUCUCUCUGACAGUUGAUUAUGUGGAGGAUCCAAUCACCCAAUGGAGUAUAGGAGGAUAUUCUCAAGCUUCAGGUAAUCCUGUUUAUCUUGCUAAUUUUCUAUAUAGUUCCCUUUACUUUGGUAUUUUGAUGGUCUAUAUAAUGUUUUAUACUUUAUUCCUUGGAGCUUUUUGGUUUGAAUCCAAUCAUCUUUAUGGCUUUUGUUGCUUGAUUCGGGUUUGAGAUUCUUGGAAUUACAUGAUUGGUGGUUCAGACUUUGGAGGUACUAUUGCCUUACAAGUUUCAUCUUAUGUAAAUCCGACUUUAUAACCUAUCAAUCUGGAUGGUCUUACUCUGCUAUGUAAAAGUUUAUUGUAAUAUUGUAUUUGUUGGAUAAGUACUUUAUGUCUACAGUUUGUCAAUUUUCCCAA
This is a non-coding RNA of Lactuca sativa (garden lettuce), 2414 nucleotides long. NCBI's taxonomy places the organism in Eukaryota, Viridiplantae, Streptophyta, Magnoliopsida, Asterales, Asteraceae. The record is from RefSeq and is a predicted model, not a curated record.